UACAAAGGUUCCUAGAAGAAU
This 21-nucleotide non-coding RNA is filed under the name Caenorhabditis elegans. The record is from RNAcentral. Lineage: Eukaryota; Metazoa; Nematoda; Chromadorea; Rhabditida; Rhabditidae.